UUUCCGUAGGUGAACCUGCGGAAGGAUCAUUAAUGAGUUUUUAUGGUCUUUGUUGGUUUUUGAUUAACAAAGUUACCUAAAACUUCAUCCUUUGUUUAUACAAAUUGUAUACUUUGGCAAGACGCUUUGACUUGAAGUUGGAGAAUAUUCAGCCACAAGAAGAAGCCACUGACGUCAUCCGAUGUGAGUGUGUUUUGCUUGCCAAAGGUCUUAACUCUUUUAUACUGUUGUCUGAGUACUACAAAAAUAAAUUAAAACUUUCAACAACGGAUCUCUUGGUUCUGGCAUCGAUGAAGAACGCAGC
This 304-nucleotide unclassified non-coding RNA is filed under the name uncultured fungus. Its description in RNAcentral is "sequence contains ITS1, 5.8S rRNA gene". The stretch from base 256 to 304 matches the Rfam family "5.8S ribosomal RNA", at positions 1 to 49 of the family's 154-position model. The record is from RNAcentral. Lineage: Eukaryota; Fungi.